UGGGGAAUCUUGGACAAUGGGCGCAAGCCUGAUCCAGCCAUGCCGCGUGAGUGAUGAAGGCCUUAGGGUUGUAAAGCUCUUUUUGCCCGGGACGAUAAUGACGGUACCCGGAGAAUAAGUCCCGGCUAACUUCGUGCCAGCAGCCGCGGUAAUACGAAGGGGACUAGCGUUGUUCGGAAUCACUGGGCGUAAAGCGCACGUAGGCGGAUUUGUAAGUCAGGGGUGAAAUCCCGGGGCUCAACCUCGGAACUGCCUUUGAUACUGCGGAUCUCGAGUCCGAUAGAGGUGAGUGGAAUUCCUAGUGUAGAGGUGAAAUUCGUAGAUAUUAGGAAGAACACCGGUGGCGAAGGCGGCUCACUGGAUCGGUACUGACGCUGAGGUGCGAAAGCGUGGGGAGCAAACAGGAUUAGAUACCCUCGUAGUCCCUGAGCGGGCUGGCAAGGCGCAU
This 448-nucleotide ribosomal RNA is filed under the name uncultured bacterium. RNAcentral describes it as "bacterial SSU rRNA". It matches the Rfam family "Bacterial small subunit ribosomal RNA", at positions 355 to 825 of the family's 1533-position model. The record is from RNAcentral.